UGGCGUCAGGAUGAACGCUGGCGGCGUGCCUAAUACAUAGCAAGUCGAGCGAGAAUCAGUUGAACGGAGAUUCGUCAAAGUGAAGCUGAGGAAAGCGGCGGACGGGUGAGUAACGCGUAGGCAACCUGCCCUUAGCAGAGGGAUAGCCAUUGGAAACGAUGAUUAAAACCUCAUAAUGCUGUUUUUACACAUGUAGAGACAGCCAAAGAUUUAUCGGCUAAGGAUGGGCCUGCGUCUGAUUAACUAGUUGGUGAGGUAACGGCCCACCAAGGUGACGAUCAGUAGCCGACCUGAGAGGGUGAUCGGCCACAUUGGAACUGAGACACGGUCCAAACUUCUACGGAAGGCAGCAGUAAGGAAUCUUGCACAAUGGGGGAAACCCUGAAUGCAGCAACGCCGCGUGAACGAUGAAGGCCUUAGGGUUGUAAAGUUCUGAUCUGUGGGAAGAAGAAGUGACGGUACCACAGGAGAAAGCCCCGGCUAAAUACGUGCCAGCCGCCGC
RNAcentral lists this ribosomal RNA (502 nucleotides) under uncultured bacterium. Its description in RNAcentral is "bacterial SSU rRNA". It matches the Rfam family "Bacterial small subunit ribosomal RNA", at positions 19 to 518 of the family's 1533-position model. The record is from RNAcentral.